AGUCGUGCGAGAAAGUAUCUUCGGAUAUGAGUAGAGCGGCGGACGGGUGAGUAACGCGUAGGAAUCUACCUAGUAGAAGGGGAUAGCCCGGGGAAACCCGGAUUAAUACCGUAUACCUCCUUCGGGAGAAAGAAGGCCUCUCUUUGAAGCUUUCGCUACUAGAUGAGCCUGCGUAAGAUUAGCUUGUUGGUGAGGUAAAGGCUCACCAAGGCUACGAUCUUUAGCUGGUCUGAGAGGACGAUCAGCCACAUUGGGACUGAGACACGGCCCAGACUCCUACGGGAGGCAGCAGUGGGGAAUAUUGGACAAUGGGCGCAAGCCUGAUCCAGCCAUACCGCGUGUGUGAAGAAGGCCUUCGGGUUGUAAAGCACUUUAAGCAGGGAGAAAAAGUUAUAAGUUAAUACCUUAUAACCCUGAUGUUACCUGCAGAAUAAGCACCGGCUAAUUCCGUGCCAGCAGCCGCGGUAAUACGGAAGGUGCAAGCGUUAAUCGGAAUUACUGGGCGUAAAGCGCGCGUAGGUGGUUU
This 526-nucleotide ribosomal RNA is filed under the name uncultured marine bacterium. RNAcentral describes it as "bacterial SSU rRNA". It matches the Rfam family "Bacterial small subunit ribosomal RNA", at positions 60 to 581 of the family's 1533-position model. The record is from RNAcentral.